ACCACGAGUUGGUAUAAUAGAGAAGUCAGCCGAAGUCAUAGUAGUUAAUGAGCUGAACAUUAAUGAAGGAC
Non-coding RNA from Psychroflexus torquis ATCC 700755, 71 nucleotides. The record is from Rfam. NCBI's taxonomy places the organism in Bacteria, Pseudomonadati, Bacteroidota, Flavobacteriia, Flavobacteriales, Flavobacteriaceae.